CGCCCCUUUUUCUCUCUCCUCACGAGAGUGCCUCUUUCUUCUUCUAGUGCGACCGACGGUGGAGCUUCCACCGUUCUUCCAUGACCAAAACCAGAGAGGGGAAGAGAGUUUUGUUUCUGCGUUUGGGUUUCCCACGCCGCCACGCCACCGACGGACCACGCCGCCAAGCCACCGACGGACCACGCCUUCAGCCGCCGUCGCCUCCUUCUCUGCUCUCCUCUAUCAAGCGUUCAUCUCCCCUCUCGUGAAACCCUAACCGAGGGUUUUGCCCGCCGUCGGCUUCGCCAACAUCACCGGCUUCUUCAUCAUCUCCGGCCUGGCAAUGGGGAUGGAGCCCAUCUACGGCCAGGUGUUUGGAGCCAAGAAGCAUUCCCUCCCGGAUUUCCUUCACCGCCACGGUGAGGUCGUCUUUCUAUUCCACUUCUACCGCACAGAGGGCGGCAAAGGUAGAGUCCGACUAGCAGAGAGCAACUUUGAGCCAUCCUUUUCAGAUUAGGGUUCGUCCGGCGCUUCAGGCCGCCGCUGCCUCUUCCUCAGUUCUCGACGUUUCUGUGCUGCCAUCCUGAGGAGGACAACCUCUCAAUCUCUGCUCUCGUUGAAACAGAGGUGCACCGGCAGACCCAGAGGAACGACAGAGGAGGUUUGCAGGGCUUCAAAAGCGGUUUUCGUCCUUUACUUAAGUUGCCUCUCUGCUACCAGCAUGAGAAAAUCUCAGCUUUGGUCAGACGGAAGAAUCCCGUCCUUUACCAUGAGGCUGUUGGGUCGGACUCUCAAUCGGCAUACGGUGAGCCAAGGCUUCACUAUGAUCAAGAUCGAAUUUCACUUAUUGGAAUUCGAUACGUAUGGCUCUGAUACCACUGUUGGAGAAACUUACGAUGCAGCAGAAGUUGAAAGUCGUCGCCUGUAAGAUCACCAGCGGCUUUAGUUCCAUGUAGAACUCAUCCCUAUAGUAAACAACACAAGAGGAAGAGGAGGAAGUUGAAGAGUAUGUCAGUUUUUGGGGUUUCCUUCUAAGGGGCUCCUCAUGUGUAAUCAACGAACUAUUACUUAGUCUCGCUGGAUAUAAAUAGCCAGCCCCUUAGGUUUUCCCCAAAUCCAGCAGCGGUUACAGUAAAUGAGAGAUUUUAGGUGAGCAUUAAAGCUCGUAACUGCAAGUGGGCCCCCUUGCAGUUACGAGAUGAAUGGGUAGGGCUCAUGGCCACUACCACUAUCCAACAGUCUCAACCAUCCAGCAAUCAAACCUGUCCACUAUUGAGAUAUGUACCCUGAACUUAUAUAGUAAAAUUUGGAUCCAUUGGUAAGGUCUAACCAGUUCUAUCAUUGAAUAGACUCCGAGAGAGUAUGACGUUGUUCAACAAGUCUUCGAGAUUCGAUAAAGAUCUGAUGCAUUGAGAUCCUGGUCAUAUUCUUGUAUGAUUUAAGAUAUUCAAAUCUGAAUCUAGAAAAUUGGAUCUCCCUUGUCAAGUCUCUACGGUCAGUAGCCAGUUAGGCGAAGACCCAUCUUCAUCACCUCAUGGUUUUGCAUGUUUACUGUAACAAACCCCAUACUGUCUAUGGGUUCAUCGUUUAGAUAAUCUCAAGUCACCCCAUAUGAACUUUGUCAUGGUUUUGCAUGUUUACUGUAACAAACCCCAUACUGUUUUUGGGUUCAUCGGUUAGACAAUCUCAAGUCACCCCAUAGGAACUUUGUUUUCUACUUUAGAAAGACAAGAAACUCCGAUAAUUAAUCAUUUAACCAAGUUACGGGCACGUGUGUGCACAACCCUCUGUGCAUUACAUCCGUCUCUUUGACUCACUUUUAUUGGGUCCCGAGUGCACUCUUUGAGUACAUGUCAUGCACAUGGACUUGCGCAUGUUUGCAUUGUGCACAGGCCUGUGCAUAUAACCAGCUAAUACAUCCUUUAUGUGCAUGAGAGACUUUAGGUAAAACUAGAUUCACCUUGAUAUUGACAUGAGGCUUCUAGUAGCAAAUCUUUACCCAUCUUCAAACAGCUUUGAUUCUUGUUCUAAAAAGGGUAAGAAGCACUAGAACUAACUAUUUCCCUCAAAUGUUUUCAAUAAACUUUAAUACAUGAUUAAACUUUUUCAUAAUGUCGUGGAAGCGUGGCACGCAUUCAAGGCAAAAGACAAGGAUGUCUAAAACAUAUCGUUAGGUUUGGAGGAAUGUUUCUGGCAGACGUUUUUCUUCAUGUUUGACUCAAUGUGUGGAACAAGAGAAGUUGAAUUUUAAGUAAAAUGCUUACUCCUGCCAAAAUCUUUUUAAAUAAUAAACGAAUUUAUUUGCAGAAAUAAAAACUCUAAGCACAACUGCAAAUUAGAAAUAAUAAUUUUCACCUUUCAUGUAGCUUGACUUUCAUUAAGAGUGAUCUGGAAAGAAAAUUGAGAAAAGAAAGACAAAAGCACCGCUCAACUUCUCACUUCCAAUAGAUCACCGCCUAGCUUUGAUAUGUCAGUUCUUUUCAAAAUACCAAAAAAUCACCCUCUCCCUCUCUCCUUCAUCCAGUGGCGUAGCCACAUUGUAGCUGGUGUGGGCAACUGCCCACACCAGCCUCUUAGAAGUUUUUUAUUUUUAAAUAAAAAUCUUAAAUAUUUAUUCUUAUAUAUAUAUCAGUGCCCCAUCAUAUUUGAGUUUGUUUAAACAAUUGCCCCUCCAGCCAAUUUUUCUGGCUCUGCCACUACCUUCAGCCUGCCUAACUCUUUCUGAGAAGGCUCAUAAUGCAAAAACACGGAAUUCUAUGAAGUCUAAUAUUCCAUAAACAUUCAAAUUCACUCAGGCCAUUUUUGAGUGCAUAGAAUUCCACUUAUGGAAGUGGAACUAAGACUCAAAAAUUUAGGAAAAUAGCAUGGCAACGCAAAAAUGGAACAUUAAUCCGAAGUGUUUUUGCUAAGUCCUAAUAUCUUUGUUUUAGCAUUAAAGUUUCAUCUAAACAGGUUAAAGUUUUUGAGAAAAAGAAAGAAACGUGGCUGUUAGAGUUCCACCUAAAUAGGUUUGACAAACGUUUCUAAGCCAUCAUACAAGAUGUGGUAAAUGUCUAUCAUUUUAUUACCGCUCAUUCAAACAUGGCCACAUAAACCACUGUAUUCCAAAGAAUAUGCUUGCAUGAUUGGUUGAAGAAAUCAACCUUCACAUUUUCUUGUUCCUCAAAUUGAUGUCUUCCAUCAUAAUAUUGCAUUCCUUUUUUCUGUUCAACAAUGUUUCAUCUUAAUCCACAUAAUCAUCGUCCUUUCCUAAUUUUCGUUUAGUUAACACUGCUUUUCAAGCAAUGGUACUCCCGUUGAUCAACAUGUUGUCAGGUAGAUUCCUAAGCUGAAGCCUUUUUUCUGUUUUUCACUCUCAAUUACUGCAUUGUAUUAGAUAAAUGUAUUAACCAGUUACAGUAGAAAGCUAUGUCUUGUGCACCCAGGGACUAUUGAUCAUUAUAUCUUUCACCAUUAGUCUUGCCAGUGAAAAGGGAAGCCAUCAGAUCAAGUCUUUCUUUUUUUGUUUUUUGAUAAUUUUUUUGCCUAUUGAGGUAUUCCCCUGAUUCCUUUGUAGCAAAUUAUAUUUCUUAUCUUGUUUGUAAUCACCAGUUUAAUAAUUCUGGGACAAAGACCUCUAGCCACCUCGCAAAGGAAUUGGUCCCUUCAAGUUGAAUUGAAGGAGGUCAAAGUUGUUGUAUGGUUGGUAUCGAAACAAAUAAAAGUGAGUUUGUCUA
Long non-coding RNA from Nymphaea colorata (pocket water lily), 3695 nucleotides. RefSeq lists it as uncharacterized. Lineage: Eukaryota; Viridiplantae; Streptophyta; Magnoliopsida; Nymphaeales; Nymphaeaceae. The transcript has 2 exons. The record is from RefSeq and is a predicted model, not a curated record.